Molecule: ribosomal RNA, 465 nt
Filed under: Vreelandella stevensii
Lineage: Bacteria; Pseudomonadati; Pseudomonadota; Gammaproteobacteria; Oceanospirillales; Halomonadaceae
Description: partial 16S ribosomal RNA
Rfam family: Bacterial small subunit ribosomal RNA
Source: RNAcentral
CCUACGGGUGGCAGCAGUGGGGAAUAUUGGACAAUGGGGGCAACCCUGAUCCAGCCAUGCCGCGUGUGUGAAGAAGGCCCUCGGGUUGUAAAGCACUUUCAGUGAGGAAGAACGCCUGGUGGUUAAUACCCAUCAGGAAAGACAUCACUCACAGAAGAAGCACCGGCUAACUCCGUGCCAGCAGCCGCGGUAAUACGGAGGGUGCGAGCGUUAAUCGGAAUUACUGGGCGUAAAGCGCGCGUAGGUGGCUUGAUAAGCCGGUUGUGAAAGCCCCGGGCUCAACCUGGGAACGGCAUCCGGAACUGUCAAGCUAGAGUGCAGGAGAGGAAGGUAGAAUUCCCGGUGUAGCGGUGAAAUGCGUAGAGAUCGGGAGGAAUACCAGUGGCGAAGGCGGCCUUCUGGACUGACACUGACACUGAGGUGCGAAAGCGUGGGUAGCAAACAGGAUUAGAUACACUGGUAGUC